Molecule: ribosomal RNA, 1528 nt
Filed under: Klebsiella planticola
Lineage: Bacteria; Pseudomonadati; Pseudomonadota; Gammaproteobacteria; Enterobacterales; Enterobacteriaceae
Description: bacterial SSU rRNA
Rfam family: Bacterial small subunit ribosomal RNA
Source: RNAcentral
AGAGUUUGAUCAUGGCUCAGAUUGAACGCUGGCGGCAGGCCUAACACAUGCAAGUCGAGCGGUAGCACAGAGAGCUUGCUCUCGGGUGACGAGCGGCGGACGGGUGAGUAAUGUCUGGGAAACUGCCUGAUGGAGGGGGAUAACUACUGGAAACGGUAGCUAAUACCGCAUAAUGUCGCAAGACCAAAGUGGGGGACCUUCGGGCCUCAUGCCAUCAGAUGUGCCCAGAUGGGAUUAGCUAGUAGGUGGGGUAAUGGCUCACCUAGGCGACGAUCCCUAGCUGGUCUGAGAGGAUGACCAGCCACACUGGAACUGAGACACGGUCCAGACUCCUACGGGAGGCAGCAGUGGGGAAUAUUGCACAAUGGGCGCAAGCCUGAUGCAGCCAUGCCGCGUGUAUGAAGAAGGCCUUCGGGUUGUAAAGUACUUUCAGCGAGGAGGAAGGCAUUAAGGUUAAUAACCUUGGUGAUUGACGUUACUCGCAGAAGAAGCACCGGCUAACUCCGUGCCAGCAGCCGCGGUAAUACGGAGGGUGCAAGCGUUAAUCGGAAUUACUGGGCGUAAAGCGCACGCAGGCGGUUUGUUAAGUCAGAUGUGAAAUCCCCGGGCUCAACCUGGGAACUGCAUUUGAAACUGGCAAGCUUGAGUCUUGUAGAGGGGGGUAGAAUUCCAGGUGUAGCGGUGAAAUGCGUAGAGAUCUGGAGGAAUACCGGUGGCGAAGGCGGCCCCCUGGACAAAGACUGACGCUCAGGUGCGAAAGCGUGGGGAGCAAACAGGAUUAGAUACCCUGGUAGUCCACGCUGUAAACGAUGUCGACUUGGAGGUUGUUCCCUUGAGGAGUGGCUUCCGGAGCUAACGCGUUAAGUCGACCGCCUGGGGAGUACGGCCGCAAGGUUAAAACUCAAAUGAAUUGACGGGGGCCCGCACAAGCGGUGGAGCAUGUGGUUUAAUUCGAUGCAACGCGAAGAACCUUACCUACUCUUGACAUCCAGAGAACUUAGCAGAGAUGCUUUGGUGCCUUCGGGAACUCUGAGACAGGUGCUGCAUGGCUGUCGUCAGCUCGUGUUGUGAAAUGUUGGGUUAAGUCCCGCAACGAGCGCAACCCUUAUCCUUUGUUGCCAGCGGUCCGGCCGGGAACUCAAAGGAGACUGCCAGUGAUAAACUGGAGGAAGGUGGGGAUGACGUCAAGUCAUCAUGGCCCUUACGAGUAGGGCUACACACGUGCUACAAUGGCAUAUACAAAGAGAAGCGACCUCGCGAGAGCAAGCGGACCUCAUAAAGUAUGUCGUAGUCCGGAUUGGAGUCUGCAACUCGACUCCAUGAAGUCGGAAUCGCUAGUAAUCGUAGAUCAGAAUGCUACGGUGAAUACGUUCCCGGGCCUUGUACACACCGCCCGUCACACCAUGGGAGUGGGUUGCAAAAGAAGUAGGUAGCUUAACCUUCGGGAGGGCGCUUACCACUUUGUGAUUCAUGACUGGGGUGAAGUCGUAACAAGGUAACCGUAGGGGAACCUGCGGUUGGAUCACCU